This 2739-nucleotide ribosomal RNA is filed under the name Salmonella enterica subsp. enterica serovar Enteritidis. RNAcentral describes it as "bacterial LSU rRNA". It matches the Rfam family "Bacterial large subunit ribosomal RNA". The record is from RNAcentral. Lineage: Bacteria; Pseudomonadati; Pseudomonadota; Gammaproteobacteria; Enterobacterales; Enterobacteriaceae.
GGGUUGUGAGGUUAAGCGACUAAGCGUACACGGUGGAUGCCCUGGCAGUCAGAGGCGAUGAAGGGCGUGCUAAUCUGCGAUAAGCGCCGGUAAGGUGAUAUGAACCGUUAUAACCGGCGAUACCCGAAUGGGGAAACCCAGUGUGACUCGUCACACUAUCAUUAACUGAAUCCAUAGGUUAAUGAGGCGAACCGGGGGAACUGAAACAUCUAAGUACCCCGAGGAAAAGAAAUCAACCGAGAUUCCCCCACGUAGCGGCGAGCGAACGGGGAGGAGCCCAGAGCCUGAAUCAGCAUGUGUGUUAAGUGGAAGCGUCUGGAAAGGCGCGCGAUACAGGGUGACAGCCCCGUACACAAAAGCGCAUGUGCUGUGAGCUCGAUGAGUAGGGCGGGACACGUGGUAUCCUGUCUGAAUAUGGGGGGGACCAUCCUCCAAGGCUAAAUACUCCUGACUGACCGAUAGUGAACCAGUACGCGUACCUUUUGUAUAAUGGGUCAGCGACUUAUAUUCUGUAGCAAGGUUAACCGAAUAGGGGAGCCGGAGGGAAACCGAGUCUUAAUUGGGCGUUAAGUUGCAGGGUAUAGACCCGAAACCCGGUGAUCUAGCCAUGGGCAGGUUGAAGGUUGGGUAACACUAACUGGAGGACCGAACCGACUAAUGUUGAAAAAUUAGCGGAUGACCUGUGGCUGGGGGUGAAAGGCCAAUCAAACCGGGAGAUAGCUGGUUCUCCCCGAAAGCUAUUUAGGUAGCGCCUCGUGAAUUCAUCUCCGGGGGUAGAGCACUGUUUCGGCUAGGGGGCCAUCCCGGCUUACCAACCCGAUGCAAACUGCGAAUACCGGAGAAUGUUAUCACGGGAGACACACGGCGGGUGCUAACGUCCGUCGUGAAGAGGGAAACAACCCAGACCGCCAGCUAAGGUCCCAAAGUCAUGGUUAAGUGGGAAACGAUGUGGGAAGGCCCAGACAGCCAGGAUGUUGGCUUAGAAGCAGCCAUCAUUUAAAGAAAGCGUAAUAGCUCACUGGUCGAGUCGGCCUGCGCGGAAGAUGUAACGGGGCUAAACCAUGCACGAAGGUCGGCCUGUGAGGGUUGCUGGAGGUAUCAGAAGUGCCGAAUGCUGACAUAAGUAACGAUAAAGCGGGUGAAAAGCCCGCUCGCCGGAAGACCAAGGGUUCCUGUCCAACGUUAAUCGGGGCAGGGUGAGUCGACCCCUAAGGCGAGGCCGAAAGGCGUAGUCGAUGGGAAACGGGUUAAUAUUCCCGUACUUGGUGUUACUGCGAAGGGGGGACGGAGAAGGCUAUGUUGGCCGGGCGACGGUUGUCCCGGUUUAAGCGUGUAGGUGUGUGUUCCAGGUAAAUCCGGUUCACUUUAACACUGAGGCGUGACGACGAGGCACUACGGUGCUGAAGCAACAAAUGCCCUGCUUCCAGGAAAAGCCUCUAAGCAUCAGGUAACAUCAAAUCGUACCCCAAACCGACACAGGUGGUCAGGUAGAGAAUACCAAGGCGCUUGAGAGAACUCGGGUGAAGGAACUAGGCAAAAUGGUGCCGUAACUUCGGGAGAAGGCACGCUGACACGUAGGUGAAGUGAUUUACUCAUGGAGCUGAAGUCAGUCGAAGAUACCAGCUGGCUGCAACUGUUUAUUAAAAACACAGCACUGUGCAAACACGAAAGUGGACGUAUACGGUGUGACGCCUGCCCGGUGCCGGAAGGUUAAUUGAUGGGGUCAGCGCAAGCGAAGCUCCUGAUCGAAGCCCCGGUAAACGGCGGCCGUAACUAUAACGGUCCUAAGGUAGCGAAAUUCCUUGUCGGGUAAGUUCCGACCUGCACGAAUGGCGUAAUGAUGGCCAGGCUGUCUCCACCCGAGACUCAGUGAAAUUGAACUCGCUGUGAAGAUGCAGUGUACCCGCGGCAAGACGGAAAGACCCCGUGAACCUUUACUAUAGCUUGACACUGAACAUUGAGCCUUGAUGUGUAGGAUAGGUGGGAGGCUUUGAAGUGUGGACGCCAGUCUGCAUGGAGCCGACCUUGAAAUACCACCCUUUAAUGUUUGAUGUUCUAACGUGGACCCGUUACCCGGGUUGCGGACAGUGUCUGGUGGGUAGUUUGACUGGGGCGGUCUCCUCCUAAAGAGUAACGGAGGAGCACGAAGGUUGGCUAAUCCUGGUCGGACAUCAGGAGGUUAGUGCAAUGGCAUAAGCCAGCUUGACUGCGAGCGUGACGGCGCGAGCAGGUGCGAAAGCAGGUCAUAGUGAUCCGGUGGUUCUGAAUGGAAGGGCCAUCGCUCAACGGAUAAAAGGUACUCCGGGGAUAACAGGCUGAUACCGCCCAAGAGUUCAUAUCGACGGCGGUGUUUGGCACCUCCCAAGGGUAUGGCUGUUCGCCAUUUAAAGUGGUACGCGAGCUGGGUUUAGAACGUCGUGAGACAGUUCGGUCCCUAUCUGCCGUGGGCGCUGGAGAACUGAGGGGGGCUGCUCCUAGUACGAGAGGACCGGAGUGGACGCAUCACUGGUGUUCGGGUUGUCAUGCCAAUGGCACUGCCCGGUAGCUAAAUGCGGAAGAGAUAAGUGCUGAAAGCAUCUAAGCACGAAACUUGCCCCGAGAUGAGUUCUCCCUGAGACUUAAAGUCUCCUGAAGGAACGUUGAAGACGACGACGUUGAUAGGCCGGGUGUGUAAGCGCAGCGAUGCGUUGAGCUAACCGGUACUAAUGAACCGUGAGGCUUAACCUUACAACGCCGAAG